AGGGGUAUAGUUUAAUGGUAGAACGAAGGUCUCCAAAACCUUUAGUGUAGGUUCGAUUCCUACUACCCCUGCCA
This 74-nucleotide transfer RNA is filed under the name bacterium. Its description in RNAcentral is "tRNA-Trp". It matches the Rfam family "tRNA". Rfam says of the family: Transfer RNA (tRNA) molecules are approximately 80 nucleotides in length. The record is from RNAcentral.